Molecule: non-coding RNA, 114 nt
Organism: Brugia malayi
Lineage: Eukaryota; Metazoa; Nematoda; Chromadorea; Rhabditida; Onchocercidae
Source: Rfam
AUUGGUUAUGGUGAUAUGACACCACAUACAUAUUUGGGACGUAUUAUUGGUUCAGUAUGUGCAGUUGCUGGUGUUCUAACUAUUGCGUUACCUGUUCCUGUAAACAUUUCAACU